Molecule: ribosomal RNA, 593 nt
Filed under: uncultured Pleosporales
Lineage: Eukaryota; Fungi; Ascomycota; Dothideomycetes; Pleosporales
Description: eukaryotic LSU rRNA
Rfam family: 5.8S ribosomal RNA (bases 218-371)
Source: RNAcentral
AGUUCGUAGGUGACCUGCGGAGGAUCAUUACCUGGCCUUGGGCCGCUCGGGGGAGCCAGUCGCUCGCGACGACGCUGCCUUGGGCGCUUAGCCCUUGACUAUCACCUUGACUACGUGCACCUUUUGUUGUUUCCUCGGCAGGUCCUCUGCCGCCAGGAACCCCCCAAACCCUUUUGCAACAGCAUCCAAACUUCUGAAAACAAACCAAAUCAUUUACAACUUUUAACAAUGGAUCUCUUGGUUCUGGCAUCGAUGAAGAACGCAGCGAAAUGCGAUAAGUAGUGUGAAUUGCAGAAUUCAGUGAAUCAUCGAAUCUUUGAACGCACAUUGCGCCCCAUGGUAUUCCGUGGGGCAUGCCUGUUCGAGCGUCAUUUACCCCCUCAAGCUCCGCUUGGUGUUGGGCGUCUGUCCCGCCUCAGCGCGCGGACUCGCCCCAAAGGCAUUGGCAGCGGUCCUGACCGCCUCUCGCGCAGCACAUUUGCGCUUCUCGAGGCGCCGGGGGCCUGCGUCCAUCAAGCCCAUCUUACCCUUUUAAUUGACCUCGAAUCAGGUAGGGAUACCCGCUGAACUUAAGCAUAUCAAUAAGCGGAGGA